CAGGAGAAAUUCUGGCUAAUACGGCAUACGUACUGCAAUUUUGAAAGUAGCAGUAGAAAGAAUGCCUCUCCUUGGAAGCAUUUACCAAAUGAUGAGCCUGCGUAGCAUUAGUUUGAUGGUGGGGUAAUGGCCUACCAUGACUACGAUGCUUAGCUGGUCUGAGAGGAUGAUCAGUCACACUGGAACUGAGACACGGUCCAGACUGCUACGGGAGGCAGCAGUGGGGAAUAUUGCGCAAUGGGGGAAACCCUGACGCAGCAAUGCCGAGUGAGUGAGGAAGGCCUUCGGGUUGUAAAGCUCUGUCAGAAGGGAAUAAUGGUGUAGGGUCCAAUAGGCCUUACAUUUGAAGGUACCUUCAAAGGAAGCACCGGCUAACUUCGUGCUAGCAGCCGCGGUAAUACGAAGGGUGCAAGCGUUGUUCGGAUUUAUUGGGCGUAAAGCGCGCGCAGGCGGAUUGUUAAGUCAGAUGUGAAAUCUCGGGGCUCAACCUCGAAACUGCGUCUGAAACUGAUAAUCUAGAAUCU
Molecule: ribosomal RNA, 524 nt
Filed under: uncultured bacterium
Lineage: Bacteria
Description: bacterial SSU rRNA
Rfam family: Bacterial small subunit ribosomal RNA
Source: RNAcentral